GACUAUAGCCACAACACCCUGAGGAAGCCCAAUCCCGUCUGAUCUCGGAAGCUAAGCAGGGUUGGGCCUGGUUGGUACUUGGAUGGGAGACCACCUAGGAAGACCAGGUGCUGUAGGAG
This 119-nucleotide ribosomal RNA is filed under the name Pteropus alecto (black flying fox). Lineage: Eukaryota; Metazoa; Chordata; Mammalia; Chiroptera; Pteropodidae. The record is from RNAcentral.